Molecule: ribosomal RNA, 253 nt
Filed under: uncultured bacterium
Lineage: Bacteria
Description: partial 16S ribosomal RNA
Rfam family: Bacterial small subunit ribosomal RNA
Source: RNAcentral
GACGGAGGAGGCAAACGUUAUCCGGAAUUAUUGGGCGUAAAGCGUCCGCCGGUGGCUUUCCAAGUCUGCUGUCAAAGCCCGAGGCUUAACCUCGGAUCGGCGGUGGAAACUGGAUCGCUAGGGUACGUCAGGGGUAGGGGGAAUUCCCGGUGUAGCGGUGAAAGGCGUAGAUAUCGGGAAGAACACCAGCGACGAAAGCGCCCUACUGGGACGUUACUGACACUCAUGGACGAAAGCUAGGGGAGCGAAAGGG